GUCUGAUUUAUCACCAUGUCCACUGGGAGUUGUUUUAGGAAUUUUGACUUAAUCUUUUGUUCCAUAAGGACUCCUUCACCACUGACCAGAUAGGUUUUGCUACCUGUAAGUUUAUUCAUCUUAGCUGCAUGCUUUGAGACCAGGGAGGCAAGCACAGCAAAGUCUGUAAACCCAGGUUUUAUUAUUCCCAAGCUGCCCUAAGUAACCACACAAACAGGACAACCAUGAUGACAUUUUCUUCAACUGAAGGCUUGUAUCCAGAGGCUCUCAAAAAACUAGAUCUCAGGUUCUCACACUUCCUGUUGGUCUCGGCUAGAGUAAGUGGUCUACUGAAGUUAAGUAUGCAGGCUUAUAACUGCAGUAUCCUUUUGAUAAUUUUCUAGGUAUAAUCUGAUCAGUCCAAGAUAGCAUU
This 412-nucleotide long non-coding RNA is filed under the name Chinchilla lanigera (long-tailed chinchilla). Its description in RNAcentral is "lncRNA (ENSCLAG00000025196.1)". Lineage: Eukaryota; Metazoa; Chordata; Mammalia; Rodentia; Chinchillidae. The record is from RNAcentral.